GAAAUAGCUCAGUCGGGAGAGCAUCAGACUGAAGAUCUGAAGGUCCCCUGUUCAAUCCGGUGAGUUUUUA
Molecule: transfer RNA, 70 nt
Filed under: Nematostella vectensis (starlet sea anemone)
Lineage: Eukaryota; Metazoa; Cnidaria; Anthozoa; Actiniaria; Edwardsiidae
Rfam family: tRNA
About the family: Transfer RNA (tRNA) molecules are approximately 80 nucleotides in length. Their secondary structure includes four short double-helical elements and three loops (D, anti-codon, and T loops).
Source: Rfam by way of RNAcentral